AGACCCGAAACCCGGUGAUCUAGCCAUGGGCAGGUUGAAGGUUGGGUAACACUAACUGGAGGACCGAACCGACUAAUGUUGAAAAAUUAGCGGAUGACCUGUGGCUGGGGGUGAAAGGCCAAUCAAACCGGGAGAUAGCUGGUUCUCCCCGAAAGCUAUUUAGGUAGCGCCUCGUGAAUUCAUCUCCGGGGGUAGAGCACUGUUUCGGCUAGGGGGCCAUCCCGGCUUACCAACCCGAUGCAAACUGCGAAUACCGGAGAAUGUUAUCACGGGAGACACACGGCGGGUGCUAACGUCCGUCGUGAAGAGGGAAACAACCCAGACCGCCAGCUAAGGUCCCAAAGUCAUGGUUAAGUGGGAAACGAUGUGGGAAGGCCCAGACAGCCAGGAUGUUGGCUUAGAAGCAGCCAUCAUUUAAAGAAAGCGUAAUAGCUCACUGGUCGAGUCGGCCUGCGCGGAAGAUGUAACGGGGCUAAACCAUGCACCGAAGCUGCGGCAGCGACGCUGAUGCGUUGUUGGGUAGGGGAGCGUUCUGUAAGCCUGUGAAGGUGUGUCGUGAGGCAUGCUGGAGGUAUCAGAAGUGCGAAUGCUGACAUA
Molecule: ribosomal RNA, 597 nt
Filed under: Salmonella enterica
Lineage: Bacteria; Pseudomonadati; Pseudomonadota; Gammaproteobacteria; Enterobacterales; Enterobacteriaceae
Description: partial 23S ribosomal RNA
Rfam family: Bacterial large subunit ribosomal RNA
Source: RNAcentral